GACGAACGCUGGCGGCGUGCUUAACACAUGCAAGUCGAACGGAAAGGCCUGCUUUCCCUUGUGGAUUGCGGGUACUCGAGUGGCGAACGGGUGAGUAACACGUGAGUGAUCUGCCCCCAACUUGGGUAUAAGCCUGGGAAACUGGGUCUAAUUCCCGAUAGGACUGCAGGGUGGUGCCUGUGGUGGAAAACGAUUUUCUAGUGGUUGGGGAUGAGCUCGCGGCCUAUCAGCUUGUUGGUGGGGUAAUGGCCUACCAAGGCGGCGACGGGUAGCCGGCCUGGGGGGGUGGACGGCCACAUUGGGACUGAGACACGGCCCAGACUCCUACGGGAGGAAGCAGUGGGGAAUAUUGCACAAUGGGCGGAAGCCUGAUGCAGCGACGCCGCGUGGGGGAUGACGGCCUUCGGGUUGUAAACUCCUUUCGACCGCGAGGAAGCCACCUGGCUGGAAGGGUGGUGACGGUAGUGGUAGAAGAAGCACCGGCUAACUACGUG
Molecule: ribosomal RNA, 494 nt
Filed under: uncultured bacterium
Lineage: Bacteria
Description: partial 16S ribosomal RNA
Rfam family: Bacterial small subunit ribosomal RNA
Source: RNAcentral